GUGGGGAAUUUUGGACAAUGGGCGCAAGCCUGAUCCAGCAAUGCCGCGUGCAGGAAGAAGGCCUUCGGGUUGUAAACUGCUUUUGUACGGAACGAAAAGGCUCUGGUUAAUACCUGGGGCUCAUGACGGUACCGUAAGAAUAAGCACCGGCUAACUACGUGCCAGCAGCCGCGGUAAUACGUAGGGUGCAAGCGUUAAUCGGAAUUACUGGGCGGAAAGCGUGCGAAGGCGGUUUUGUAAGACACGCGUGAAAGCCCCGGGCUCAACCUGGGAAUGGCGCUUGUGACUGCAAGGCUGGAGUGCGGCAGAGGGGGAUGGAAUUCCGCGUGUAGCAGUGAAAUGCGUAGAUAUGCGGAGGAACACCGAUGGCGAAGGCAAUCCCCUGGGCCUGCACUGACGCUCAUGUACGAAAGCGUGGGGAGCGAACGGGAUUAGAUACCCUUGUAGUCC
This 450-nucleotide ribosomal RNA is filed under the name uncultured bacterium. RNAcentral's name for it is "partial 16S ribosomal RNA". It matches the Rfam family "Bacterial small subunit ribosomal RNA", at positions 354 to 796 of the family's 1533-position model. The record is from RNAcentral.